AAUGGUCCUUAUGUGUUAGUGUGUUUGCAAUUCUUUCUCAUUUGUUAGGAACAACAGUGAAUUUCAUGUUUUUUUUUUGAUAGAAAUGGUCUUCAAUUAUAGAUGUCUUUGCAACUCUAUCUAAGUUGUCAUUGAUUUUUGUGGGGGUCAGUUUAUGUCAUUUUGAACUUUCUUUUGUUUACACGUGUUAUUUUGAAUUUGCUUCACCGUUUUUACACCAUCUUUGCCUCCAAUGGGAUGCUUACACGACUCCUUCCCACCGCCUCACUACUUAGAUAGCUUUUCCACUACUGUGUCUUCCUUCGGUUUCCUAACCAUUCUUAUGUUAAUUCUUCAUUCAUCAUAAUCCUCAUCUUCACCGCCACCACCAUUUGCUCUGGCGUCUUCUUUUACGCCCUCGAUUCAAGCUGAUUCGCUUCCCAUUGUGUUGCCCUAAGUUUUCGGGAUCAGGGGUUUUUAGGGAACUUUAGCUCCAUCUGUCUACCUUUUGAUUGGAAAAAAAAAACCCACGAUGACUUGGGUCUGGAUUUCGAAAUUGAAGCAAUCCGAGGGGGUAUGAAAAACGUAGAAAAGGGAAAUUAACAAUGCGAGGGGGUAUGACAGACGACCACCAUCGUGUAUACAUAUUGGGCUUAGAGAAGGAAGUGGUGUCUCCAUCUUUCGUUGUGGUUCUACAACCCAUUUUGCCUUAAUCUUCAUAAAUCGAACGGCAACACCGCCACCAUGUCACUUUGAUUGGCUUUUAUCUGCCCACGAAGGUUUAUUUUCGAAUGCUUUAUUCCACAAAUCUUCCUCUUUAUGAAAAUUAGGGCUUUCAUCAAGAAAGUCGACGACUCAAUUUAAAGGGUCCUAAUUAGGUAUUUUGUUUUCCCAAAAUUAUCUCCUUUCUUGCAAUCCUUUCACCCUGCCUAAAUACAAACCAGGUUUGCAAGUCUAGAUGUAAUCAAAUUUGUGUCGGCAUAUCUUCAUCCCGAUGCCAGCUUCUUGGUAACUUGGUAACUUCUAAGUUCUAUCUGACAUUUGCAGGUUUUCCAUGUGUAUUAUGGAAAAUCAACACUUUCAGGAAGGCUGCUUCCGUUUUUUCUCAAUCCUCUCGAUCAAGGCUUCGAAGCCCCCGUUAAUCAGAAUCGAAAUCAACAUUUUUGUCCAUUCAAACUUCCAAUAUAUAUGUUGUCCACAUCAUGUUUCAAACCUGGAUUUGCAUGGAUUUUGCUAGGUAACCACUACCAUGACGUUGUUGCUCUUGCGAGACCUGGCUGUGAGAACAACUUUGUUCUGGAAAUGAUCCAGUUGUUAUUAUUAUUGUUUUUUUGCUCUUGAGCUUUCUAUAUGUGCAGAUUUGUGCAUUCGUCAUGCAUUGUACAGUGAUUUAUGUGAUUGCAAUAGUUUUCUUACUUGAUUAUUGUUUUAUAUUGAUGUUCUUCUAAAGCUGAUGGAAUUGUUAGGGUCGAAGUCUUUUUGUAAAGAGUUGAAGUGUAUUUGCUUUAUUUUGUAUGUAAUGUAUUUACUAAGUCGAUUUUAUGUUUGAAGCGUAACUCCUAGACUUAGUAUUUUUUGUACUCUCGGUUUCCUAUAAAUAGGAAGUGAACUUAGAAUUAGAUAACAAGUUUUCCAUGUAUGUUGUCUAUUUUUGUACUCUUGUUCAUUUGAGAGUCAUAUGAGCUAAAACCAGAUUCUAUUUACAUUCUAUGUUCUUGAUUGAUCUUUAGCGUGUUUAACUCUAAUCCUAUUCGAUUUCUCGUUACAAUUCUUCUUCACUAAGGUUAAGGUAUUAGACUUGGAUUGAGAUUGAAGGUUGAUAAAAUGAGUCAAAUUAAAUCUCAGAAAAUCAUUAUCAUACCCUAAACUGAAAUUCCUUAGCUCAAGCAUAUGAAAUAUGGAUAAUUUGAAUUUCAAGUGUAUAAUUUUUCACUUAUUUAAUACAUGAAAAGCUUUCAAUUUAAGUCAACAAGUUAGUAGUUACAUAUCAAAUGUUUUGUGAUCGUUCCUUUCCUAAUUAUCUUUGUACUUUUAUUACCAAUUGUUCACAUAACCUGAUGUUAUUCAGGAUUCUUAAGACCCUCCCAUGAAGUUUACAAGUUUU
Molecule: long non-coding RNA, 2083 nt
Filed under: Lactuca sativa (garden lettuce)
Lineage: Eukaryota; Viridiplantae; Streptophyta; Magnoliopsida; Asterales; Asteraceae
Description: long non-coding RNA (LSAT_LNC005359)
Source: RNAcentral